Molecule: long non-coding RNA, 446 nt
Organism: Homo sapiens (human)
Lineage: Eukaryota; Metazoa; Chordata; Mammalia; Primates; Hominidae
Exons: 3
Source: RefSeq, a predicted model, not a curated record
AUAAGGGGGAUAAUGAAACUUAGGCGACAUCCGGAAAGAUUGUAACCUCAUAGUACUCGACCAAUGAGGAACUGGGGGAGGGACUUGGAUGCUAGGAGAUAAAUUAUACCAGACACCCAAUCUUGCAAGACCCCUAUUAAAAGUCUCACUUCCGCUGUUCUUCGUGCCUCUAAGCCCAUUCUUUGGGUUUGGAAAGCCUCCUGCAGCCAGAGCAGCCAUUUGAAAAUGCAAAUCUAUUCACACCUGUGUUACAUGACGGAGACUGCUUCAGCCAUUGAGCCAUGUCUGCCUGUAUCCUUCAGCUAGAAAACCCCAGAAAAAAGGCACCAAGUGGAAAUAAGGAGCAAGGAAGGGGACAGCUGUGAACACUGGCCUCCUUAGUCAACCACGGGUGUCAGAGAACUUAAUGGAUGGAGCAGAUUUCAAGGAAAGAAAUCAGGCAGAAU